This 88-nucleotide non-coding RNA is filed under the name Pseudomonas sp. SJZ094. Lineage: Bacteria; Pseudomonadati; Pseudomonadota; Gammaproteobacteria; Pseudomonadales; Pseudomonadaceae. RNAcentral also lists the same sequence under 1 other name. The record is from RNAcentral.
GUGGGAGGGGGCUUGCUCCCGAUGGCGGAGUGUCAGUUGGCCUGUUUGUCAGCUGAUCCACCGCCAUCGGGAGCAAGCCCCCUCCCAC